CCCUUAGAUGAUUUGGGCUGCACGCGCGCUACACUGAUGCAUUCAACGAGCCUAUCCUUGACCGACAGGUCCGGGUAAUCUUUGAAUCUGCAUCGUGACGGGGAUAGAUUAUUGCAAUUAUUAAUCUUCAACGAGGAAUGCCUAGUAGGCGCAAGUCAUCAGCUUGCGUCGAUUACGUCCCUGCCCUUUGUACACACCGCCCGUCGCUCCUACCGAUUGGGUGUGCUGGUGAAAUGUUCGGAUCGGCCGUUUGUCGCGGUUUCCGCGUCAUGUGGCUGAGAAGUUCAUUAAACCCUCCCACCUAGAGGAAGGAGAAGUCGUAACA
Molecule: ribosomal RNA, 325 nt
Filed under: uncultured eukaryote
Lineage: Eukaryota
Description: partial 18S ribosomal RNA
Rfam family: Eukaryotic small subunit ribosomal RNA
Source: RNAcentral